Molecule: long non-coding RNA, 1623 nt
Organism: Mustela erminea (ermine)
Lineage: Eukaryota; Metazoa; Chordata; Mammalia; Carnivora; Mustelidae
Exons: 3
Source: RefSeq, a predicted model, not a curated record
CAUGUAGUAGGCAUUCAAUAGAUCAUGUUGUGACUGAGGGAAUCUUCCUGAAUCUGGGCCAGUCAUUUAGAUGAGGUUGGCAGCUUUGAGUGCUGUGUCUGUAUGUACCUCUGCUGGGAGGUCUGGCAGCUCCAUGAGGGUGUUAGACAUUCGCAAGGGCAUUCCGGGGCUGGUUUCUAUCUGACUGUCUCCCUAUGGUAUGUCCUUCAUCUCCACAGCUCCUUUGAGAAAGAAGUUUGAGACAAGCAGGAAGUUAGUUUCUGACAGCUUUUAGAAAUCCAGCUCCUCUUCUGAAGUCAGUGUGAUUGUCCAAUCGACACAGAUCCACCCACAGCUCUCUGUUUUGUUCAAACAUUAAUUCUGCUCUGGAAGCUACCAUCAUCCUUUUGCUUGUUGGGCCUUACCUUUUGAUCGUUGGGAACAGGAGGAACAAUGGUAGACUUAAAACAAAGGGUUAAGUGUCCAAAUCUGACAUUCACAUUGUCAAUAUAGUACAUGUCCUAGAAGAAAGGAAAGGCGACUAAAGCCACCAAAGGGGCAUUAAUACAAGGAUCUACAGAGUUUUAGAAGAAGGCUUGGUUCCAGAAAAACCAAACCAGAGAGAGGUUUUGACCUGUAAAAUCAUAAGGUCCUGAAAUGUAAACAUGCGUUCUUUGCCAUUCGUGACAGAAACUGGCUGCAUGUCAAAAUGGGAAAGGACCAGAUCGGGGAAAAUAAAAGGAAAAGCUACCACCAAAGUAAACAAAACACACAAGAGCCUUGGCAUCAAGUAACAAGUAACAUCGAGUAACAUGUAACAAGUCUGAGGGUGAUGAGGUUUGUGAAGGGCUUGAAUGAACUCAGGUGAUAGAUUUGAGAGACAGUGAAACUAUGGAGAGUGGAGUUGCUGGCCGGGAGCACGGGCGUAUCUUCCGCCGAAGCCUUCUUUCCACCCUGGUUAGAAUUGCAACCCAAACUCAGGAAUGUCCCUCUUCUUAAUCUGGCUCAUCCACUCACAGCCCCUUGAACGUGGGCUGCUGUGAAUCGGUGGUGACGAUCUUGCAAGAAACAUUGUGAAGUUAACAAAUAUGAUUUGUAACGGGCACUGCAGAUAUAAAGUGCCGUAAAAUGCUAAUGAAUGAUAGUGUGCGUCCACUGGUUAGCGGGCCAGCGCAACAGGCCAAGGAUAACAGAAAAAGAGACUGCCUUUUGAACACACAAAGUGCUAUCCUAUUCAUCUGGCCUCAUGCCUGCCACCAUGGGAGGCUCUGGCUCGGCCCUCAUUAUUCACCCAAACAACUUCCUUUCCCUCUCUGUCUGGGUCUGCAGGCCGCUUUCUGAGCAAAGAAAGAUUCCCUGAAACCUUUUGGCGCCAUCAACAACAGCAGCAGCAAGAAAAGUUUGGCUUGAAAAAUUCAUUCAUAGGAUGAAAAAAUACAAUGGAAAUCUAUCAUUAUGGAUGUUUCUGAGAGAGGGAGAAAAAAGACCCGGGCUUUGUUUUGCAUUUUGGUUUGUGUGUGUCCAUAUGUGAAGACACAGGUGUGGGAUUCCCUCAAGGGAGGAAUUGCUGGGUCAUAUGAUAGUCUGAUUUUCCAGUAUGUUUUCAGAUCGAAAAUUAUUGGAAGAAACUGACAACCUAACCUA